CCUACGGGAGGCAGCAGUGGGGAAUAUUGCACAAUGGGGGCAACCCUGAUGCAGCGACGCCGCGUGAGUGAAGAAGGUUUUCGGUUUGUAAAGCUCUUUCGGCCGUGACGAAAAUGACGGUAGCGGCUUAAGAAGCACCGGCUAACUCCGGGCCAGCAGCCGCGGUAAUACGAAGGGAGCGAGCGUUAUCCGGAUUUACUGGGCGUAAAGGGAGGGUAGGCGGAUGUGUAAGAUAGCGGUGAAAUGCCGGGGCUCAACCCCGGAACUGCCAUUGUGACUAUGCAUCUAGAGUAAUGGAGAGGAUAGCGGAAUACGCAGUGUAGCGGUGAAAUGCGUAGAUAUUGGGAAGAACACCGGUGGCGAAGGCGGCUAGCUGGCCAGUAACUGACGCUGAGGCUCGAAAGCAUGGGGAGCAAACAGGAUUAGAUACCCGAGUAGUC
Molecule: ribosomal RNA, 440 nt
Filed under: uncultured bacterium
Lineage: Bacteria
Description: partial 16S ribosomal RNA
Rfam family: Bacterial small subunit ribosomal RNA
Source: RNAcentral